Molecule: ribosomal RNA, 443 nt
Filed under: uncultured bacterium
Lineage: Bacteria
Description: partial 16S ribosomal RNA
Rfam family: Bacterial small subunit ribosomal RNA
Source: RNAcentral
CCUACGGGGGGCAGCAGUGGGGAAUAUUGGGCAAUGGGCGCAAGCCUGACCCAGCAACGCCGCGUGCAGGAAGAAGGCUUUCGGGUUGUAAACUUCUUUUCUCAGGGACGAAGCAAGUGACGGUACCUGAGGAAUAAGCCACGGCUAACUACGUGCCAGCAGCCGCGGUAAUACGUAGGUGGCAAGCGUUAUCCGGAUUUACUGGGUGUAAAGGGCGUGUAGGCGGGAAAGCAAGUCAGAUGUGAAAACCAUGGGCUCAACCUGUGGCCUGCAUUUGAAACUGUUUUUCUUGAGUACUGGAGAGGCAGACGGAAUUCCUAGUGUAGCGGUGAAAUGCGUAGAGAUUAGGAGGAACACCAGUGGCGAAGGCGGUCUGCUGGACAGCAACUGACGCUGAGGCGCGAAAGCGUGGGGAGCAAACAGGAUUAGAUACCCUUGUAGUC